ACCCUCUUGGGAUUGCACCUGGAGAGUUUUCAGUACUUUACCAGUCUCGGCUACGGGGGGAAAGUCGAGCAGAGGCAUAAGCAUUCCAUUCCUCACUUGGGCAGUGGCUAGUGAGUGGAAGGCACUCUGCUACAAGU
Small nucleolar RNA from Tachyglossus aculeatus (Australian echidna), 137 nucleotides. NCBI's taxonomy places the organism in Eukaryota, Metazoa, Chordata, Mammalia, Monotremata, Tachyglossidae. The record is from RefSeq and is a predicted model, not a curated record.